Molecule: ribosomal RNA, 253 nt
Filed under: uncultured bacterium
Lineage: Bacteria
Description: partial 16S ribosomal RNA
Rfam family: Bacterial small subunit ribosomal RNA
Source: RNAcentral
UACGUAGGGGGCAAGCGUUGUCCGGAUUUAUUGGGCGUAAAGAGCGUGUAGGCGGCCUGACAGGUCUGCUGUGAAAACUCGAGGCUCAACCUCGAGAUGUCGGCGGAAACCGUCUGGCUAGAGUCCGGAAGAGGAGAGUGGAAUUCCUGGUGUAGCGGUGAAAUGCGCAGAUAUCAGGAAGAACACCUAUGGCGAAGGCGGGUCUCUGGGCAAUAACUGACGCUGAGGAGCGAAAGCGUGGGGAGCGAACAGG